Long non-coding RNA from Oxyura jamaicensis (ruddy duck), 146 nucleotides. RefSeq lists it as uncharacterized. The transcript is spliced from 3 exons. Lineage: Eukaryota; Metazoa; Chordata; Aves; Anseriformes; Anatidae. The record is from RefSeq and is a predicted model, not a curated record.
CGAGGCAUGUUUAAUCGCCCUAGAAGGCUGACUAAAUACCCUAAAACACGGAAAGUAACCUCUAAUUCAACAGUUUUGCUUUGAAAUCAGUUUCAGAGCUGUACACAUUGGACUGCUGGUAUGGAACAAACUAUAAAUAUAAAAUU